AUGGCUGCGGCAGUCACUCGCAGAUCCAACGCCCUCCGCGUCGACGUCCCGGAUGGCGACGCCGUUGCCGUCUCUGUCGCGGCGGACUCCCCCGUGGCCAAACGGGGCCUUGGCGCCAAGGACGAGGUGUGGGUUGCCGCCGAUGAGGGAGGCAUCAUGUCGGGCGACGGCAACCGGCCUCUGCUGUUCCGGACCAUGAAGGUCAAGGGAAGCAUCCUGCACCCUUACAGGUUCUUGAUGCUCGUGCGCUUGGUCGCCGUCGUCGUCUUCUUCAAGUGGCGCGUGGAGCACAAGAAUCACGACGGUGUGUGGCUCUGGACCGCGUCUAUGACUGCCGAUGCCUGGUUCGGCUUCUCAUGGCUCCUCAACCAGCUCCCCAAGCUCAACCCCAUCAAGCGCGUCCCGGACCUCGCCGCCCUUGCAGACCGACACGACGAUGCCACCCUUCCAGGGAUUGAUGUCUUCGUCACCACAGUCGAUCCCGUGGAUGAGCCCGUCCUAUACACUGUAAACACCAUCCUCUCCAUCCUCGCUGCCGACUACCCGGUCGACAAUUACGCCUGUUACAUCUCAGAUGACGGUGGCACGUUGGUGCACUAUGAAGCGAUGGUCCAGGUUGCCAGUUUUGCUGCGUUGUGGGUCCUGUUUUGCCGGAAGCAUUGCGUCGAGCCAAGGUCCCCCGAGAGCUAUUUUGGGAUGAAGACACGGUCCUACGCCGGGGGUAUGGCAGGAGAAUUCAUGAGGGAUCAUAGGCGUGUCCGCAGAGAAUAUGAGGAGUUCAAGGUGAGAAUAGACUCCCUUUCUACGACCAUCCGCCAACGAUCUGAUGCCUACAACUCGAAUAACAAAGGAGGUGUAAGUGCCACCUGGAUGGCUGAUGGGACACAAUGGCCGGGUACAUGGGUUGAGCAAGCCGAGAACCACCGAAGAGGACAACAUGCUGGAAUUGUUCAGGUCCUACUAGACCAUCCAAGCUUUAAGCCACAGCUUGGAUCACCCGCAAGCACCGACAAUCCAUUUGACUUCAGCAACGUUGACACGAGACUCCCCAUGCUCGUCUACAUUUCUCGAGAGAAGCGCCCUGGUUAUGACAACCAAAAGAAGGCAGGUGCCAUGAACGUGAUGCUCCGUGUCUCCGCACUGCUCUCCAACGCGCCCUUCGUCAUCAACUUUGACUGCGACCACUACAUCAACAACUCACAAGCUCUCCGUGCCCCUAUGUGCUUCAUGCUCGACCCUCAUGACGGUCAGAACACGGCGUUCGUCCAGUUCCCGCAACGGUUUGACGACGUCGACCCAACUGAUCGCUACGCCAACCACAACCGUGUCUUCUUUGACGGCACCAUGCUUGCGCUCAACGGCCUCCAAGGGCCUACCUACCUCGGCACCGGCACCAUGUUCCGUCGUGUCGCGCUCUAUGGCAUCGAGCCGCCACACUAUAGAGCAGAGAAUACUAAACUUGUUUGUAAGACAGGUGAGUUUGGUUACUCGACGUCAUUCAUCAACUCGGUGCCGGAUGCCGCGAUCCAAGAUCGAUCUAUCACCCCGGUGUUGGUCGACGAGCGCCUCAGCAAGGACCUAGCUACCUUGAUGACGUGUGCUUACGAGGACGGGAGCUCAUGGGGGAGAGAUGCCGGGUGGGUGUACAACAUCGCGACGGAGGACGUGGUGACAGGAUUCCGCAUUCAUCGGCAAGGGUGGCAUUCCAUGUACUGCUCCAUGGAACCCGCGGCAUUUCGUGGAACGGCUCCGAUCAACCUCACCGAGCGCCUCUACCAAGUGCUUCGGUGGUCUGGCGGGUCCCUCGAGGUGUUCUUCUCCCACAACAAUGCCCUCAUCGCCAGCCGCCGGCUCCACCCUCUGCAGCGCAUCACCUACCUCAACAUGUCGACGUACCCGAUCGUCACGGUGUUCAUCUUGUCCUACAAUUUCUUCCCGGUCAUGUGGCUCUUCUCCGAGCAGCUCUACAUCCAGAGGCCAUUCGGCACGUACAUGGCGUACCUUGUCGGCAUCAUAGCGAUGGUGCACUUGAUCGGCAUGUUUGAGGUGAGAUGGUCGGGGAUCACGUUGCUAGACUGGUUCCGCAACGAGCAGUUCUACAUGAUUGGGGCGACGGGUGUGUACCCAACAGCGGUGCUCUACAUGUUGCUGAAGCUCGUCACGGGGAAAGGGAUAUACUUUAGGCUCACAUCCAAGCAAACGGAGGGCUGCUCCAACGACAAGUUCGCCGAUCUCUACACAGUGCGGUGGGUGCCGCUGUUGAUCCCGACCGCCGCAGUCAUCAUCGUCAAUGUCGCGGCCAUCGGGGCAGCAAUAGGCAAGGCGGCGACAUGGGGCUUCUUCACAGACGAGGCGCGACAUGCGCUUCUCGGGAUGGUGUUCAACAUGGGGAUCCUCGUGCUCCUCUACCCGUUUGCACUUGGCAUCAUGGGGAAGUGGGGGAAGAGACCCAUCAUCUUGUUCAUUGUGUUGGUCAUGGCCAUCAGCGUCGUCGGGCUCUUGUAUGUCACGCUGCACGCCCCGUACACAGGAGAAUGGUCACAAGUUGCCGUUUCUCUCGGGAAAGCAUCGCUGACCGGGCCAUCUGGAUCUGGGUAG
RNAcentral lists this ribosomal RNA (2598 nucleotides) under Triticum aestivum (bread wheat). Its description in RNAcentral is "partial small subunit ribosomal RNA". Lineage: Eukaryota; Viridiplantae; Streptophyta; Magnoliopsida; Poales; Poaceae. The record is from RNAcentral.